CCUACGGGUGGCAGCAGUAGGGAAUAUUGCUCAAUGGGGGAAACCCUGAAGCAGCAAUGCCGCGUGGAUGAUGAAGGUUUUCGGAUUGUAAACUCCUUUUGUUAGAGAAGAUAAUGAUGGUAUUUAUCGAAUAAUCACUGGCCAACUCCGUGCCAGCAGCCGCGGUAAUACGGAGGGUGCAAGCGUUACUCGGAAGCACUGGGCGUAAAGAGCACGUAGGCGGGUUAGCAAGUCAGAUGUGAAAUCCUAUGGUUUAACCAUAGAACUGCAUUUGAAACUGUUAUUCUAGAGUAUGGGAGAGGUAGGUGGAAUUCUAGGUGUAGGGGUAAAAUGCGUAGAGAUCAAGAGGAAUAC
RNAcentral lists this ribosomal RNA (354 nucleotides) under uncultured bacterium. RNAcentral describes it as "partial 16S ribosomal RNA". It matches the Rfam family "Bacterial small subunit ribosomal RNA", at positions 338 to 709 of the family's 1533-position model. The record is from RNAcentral.